Molecule: ribosomal RNA, 425 nt
Filed under: uncultured bacterium
Lineage: Bacteria
Description: bacterial SSU rRNA
Rfam family: Bacterial small subunit ribosomal RNA
Source: RNAcentral
AGGGAAUCUUCGGCAAUGGGGGCAACCCUGACCGAGCAACGCCGCGUGAGUGAAGAAGGUUUUCGGAUCGUAAAGCUCUGUUGUAAGUCAAGAACGAGUGUGAGAGUGGAAAGUUCACACUGUGACGGUAGCUUACCAGAAAGGGACGGCUAACAACGUGCCAGCAGCCGCGGUAAUACGUAGGUCCCGAGCGUUGUCCGGAUUUAUUGGGCGUAAAGCGAGCGCAGGCGGUUUGAUAAGUCUGAAGUUAAAGGCUGUGGCUCAACCAUAGUUCGCUUUGGAAACUGUCAAACUUGAGUGCAGAAGGGGAGAGUGGAAUUCCAUGUGUAGCGGUGAAAUGCGUAGAUAUAUGGAGGAACACCGGUGGCGAAAGCGGCUCUCUGGUCUGUAACUGACGCUGAGGCUCGAAAGCGUGGGGAGCGAAC